UACGUAGGGAGCAAGCGUUAUCCGGAUUUACUGGGUGUAAAGGGCGUGUAGGCGGGCCUGCAAGUCAGAAGUGAAAUCUGGGGGCUUAACCCCCAAACUGCUUUUGAAACUGCGGGUCUUGAGUGAUGGAGAGGCAGGCGGAAUUCCCAGUGUAGCGGUGAAAUGCGUAGAUAUUGGGAGGAACACCAGUAGCGAAGGCGGCUGUCUGGUCUGCAACUGACGCUGAGGCUCGAAAGCAUGGGUAGCGAACAGG
RNAcentral lists this ribosomal RNA (253 nucleotides) under uncultured Oscillospiraceae bacterium. RNAcentral's name for it is "partial 16S ribosomal RNA". It matches the Rfam family "Bacterial small subunit ribosomal RNA", at positions 524 to 776 of the family's 1533-position model. Lineage: Bacteria; Bacillati; Bacillota; Clostridia; Eubacteriales; Oscillospiraceae. The record is from RNAcentral.